CCGGUCCGCCGAAAAAGCCUCCGGGGAGAAUAGAGAAUCCGGUGCGAAUCCGGAGCGGUACCGCCACUGUAAGUGCGGAGGUCCCGGCAAUGGCGAAAGCCGGUCAUUGGAGCGAUCCGAGAAGGCCCAGCCGGGACUCAGGAUGCACAAGUCAGGAGACCUGCUGAAA
Molecule: non-coding RNA, 169 nt
Filed under: human gut metagenome
Source: RNAcentral